This 576-nucleotide ribosomal RNA is filed under the name Mycena epipterygia var. lignicola. Its description in RNAcentral is "eukaryotic LSU rRNA". It matches the Rfam family "Eukaryotic large subunit ribosomal RNA", at positions 1 to 574 of the family's 3401-position model. The record is from RNAcentral. Lineage: Eukaryota; Fungi; Basidiomycota; Agaricomycetes; Agaricales; Mycenaceae.
UUGACCUCAAAUCAGGUAGGACUACCCGCUGAACUUAAGCAUAUCAAUAAGCGGAGGAAAAGAAACUAACAAGGAUUCCCCUAGUAACUGCGAGUGAAGCGGGAAAAGCUCAAAUUUAAAAUCUGGCGGUUCUUGUGGCCGUCCGAGUUGUAAUUUAGAGAAGUGUUAUCCGCGCUGGACCGUGUACAAGUCUCCUGGAAUGGAGCGUCAUAGAGGGUGAGAAUCCCGUCUUUGACACGGACUGCCAGGGCAUUGUGAUACGCUCUCGAAGAGUCGAGUUGUUUGGGAAUGCAGCUCAAAAUGGGUGGUAAAUUCCAUCUAAAGCUAAAUAUUGGGGAGAGACCGAUAGCGAACAAGUACCGUGAGGGAAAGAUGAAAAGAACUUUGGAAAGAGAGUUAAACAGUACGUGAAAUUGCUGAAAGGGAAACGCUUGAAGUCAGUCGCGUCGUUCAGGACUCAGCCUUGCUUUUGCUUGGUGUACUUCUUGUUCGACGGGUCAGCAUCAAUUUUGGUCGGUGGAUAAAGGCUUAGAGAAUGUGGCAUCUUCGGGUGUGUUAUAGCUCUGGGUCGCAUAC